Pelobates cultripes (western spadefoot toad) is the source of this 394-nucleotide non-coding RNA. Lineage: Eukaryota; Metazoa; Chordata; Amphibia; Anura; Pelobatidae. The record is from the annotation of a GenBank genome assembly.
CUUCUAUGGGAUGAUGUAUAAGUGGAUUUACAUGUUCAUGACUUUGUUUCUAAACCUGUCACACAUUCUCUUUUCAGUAUGUUUCGUCUCUGAAGACAUUUGGUUGUUCGUGUGAAACUCUGGAAUUUUGAUCCUUCGGAUUUGAUUCAUCCCUGAACACAUUUUCGAUGUUUGUGUAGAAUUCACGGGGGAAGUUUGCUCCUUCGGAUGUUGGACUUAAGAGUUAUUGUUUUGCUUGUUAUAUGUUUACUUCUGCUUGCUCUCGCUUUCUGAAAGAGGAAAUGAUGAGGUCACUAUGCCUUAUGUACUUCCUACUCUCUUGUGAUUGGUUCUUUUUUCUAUAUGUUUCUUUGCUGCUGUGUGGAGCUAGUAAAGAGAGAUUAUGCAAAAUACU